CAAGCUGGGACGGAAUCCCUAGGAGGCGGCGUCCGCCAGGCAAGGAGGGGCGGGGGCACCGUGGACCGAAGCUUUCGCACACGGCGGGCUCCGGCCCACUCUAGCAGCAAAGGCGCCCGCGGGAGGCGUGAAUACCAUGGGCUCUUGCUCCGGCCGCUGCACGCUUCUUGCGCUCUGCGCUCUUCAGUUGGUCACUGCUCUGGAACGGCAGGUGUUUGACUUCCUGGGCUACCAGUGGGCACCCAUCCUGGCCAACUUCAUCCACAUCAUCGUGGUCAUCUUGGGGCUCUUCGGCACUCUCCAAUAUCGGCCACGCUACAUUGUGGUGUAUGCUGUGUGGGCAGCUGUCUGGGUUACCUGGAAUGUCUUCAUUAUCUGCUUCUACCUGGAAGUGGGGGGCCUCUCGAAGGACAGUGAGCUCUUGACCUUCAAUCUCUCCCGGCACCGCUCCUGGUGGAAAGAGCAUGGUCCAGGCUGUCUUCAUGGAGAGGCAGCUACAUCUGGCCUGGGAGCAAUGCCUGGCCAGUCCUUAGUGGUAGAUGCUGGCUGUGCCACAGUGUACAGCUAUAUGGAAGCCCUGCACAGUGGUCUGCAGAUCCUGCUGGCGCUCCUGGGUUUCGUCUAUGGCUGCUACGUGGUCAGCGUACUCACAGAAGAAGAAGACAGCUUUGAUUUCAUUGGUGGAUUUGACCCAUUCCCCCUGUACCAUGUCAAUGAAAAGCCGUCCAGCCUCUUGUCCAAGCAGGCAUAUUUAUCACAUUUCCUUCUCUAAAGCAGUACCACGGCCCUACAGAUGCCAUGGCCAUGCCUGGGCUUCCUGGAAGUCUUGGAAUUGAGGCCUGCGUAAGUGAGAGAACAGUUGACCCUGCUCCUGCAACCCAGUUUCAGCUGCCGGAACAAUGAGGAGACUCCAGGCCUGGAGUCACGGCCCUGCUUCCCUGCCCGCCUAGCAUUCUUUCCAAAUUCCCCUUGGAUACCAGUGAGGGGUGGGGCACACUGAAGGCCAGGGUGGCUGCGACUGUGAGUUUGUAAUUUCUCUUUCUUUCUCUCUUCCUUUCUUUUUUUCUAAAAAAAAAAAUAGUAAGACAAGACAUGAGAGAAUACAGAAACAAACUGGACCCCGGUCUUCUUGGGUGACUGGCAGUGAACCUAGGCAGUUUUCCCAGGCGCCCCCAGAGUGCUCUGACCUGAGGUUACAGGACCUGCAGACCACACACCACAAAGGGAAAGGCUCAUCAGAGGACAAUGAGAGGUUCAGUCCCAUCUGGAAGUCCCUAUGAGCCACCACGAUCCAAGAGUGAC
This is an RNA transcript of Alexandromys fortis (reed vole), 1302 nucleotides long. It is a transcript of the gene named sodium/potassium transporting ATPase interacting 4, with no coding region annotated. The record is from RefSeq and is a predicted model, not a curated record. Lineage: Eukaryota; Metazoa; Chordata; Mammalia; Rodentia; Cricetidae. The transcript has 8 exons.